CUAGAGACCGGCGCACGGGUGCGUAACGCGUAUGCAAUCUACCUUUCACAAAGGGAUAGCCCAGAGAAAUUUGGAUUAAUACCUUAUAGUAUAACGACUUCGCAUGGAGCUGUUAUUAAAGAUUUAUCGGUGAAAGAUGAGCAUGCGUCCCAUUAGCUAGUUGGUAAGGUAACGGCUUACCAAGGCUACGAUGGGUAGGGGUCCUGAGAGGGAGAUCACCCACACUGGUACUGAGACACGGACCAGACUCCUACGGGAGGCAGCAGUGAGGAAUAUUGGUCAAUGGGCGCAAGCCUGAACCAGCCAUGCCGCGUGCAGGAUGACGGUCCUAUGGAUUGUAAACUGCUUUUGUACAGGAAGAAACACUCCCUCGUGAGGGAGCUUGACGGUACUGUAAGAAUAAGGAUCGGCUAACUCCGUGCCAGCAGCCGCGGUAAUACGGAGGAUCCAAGCGUUAUCCGGAAUCAUUGGGUUUAAAGGGUCCGUAGGCGGCUUAAUAAGUCAGUGGUG
Molecule: ribosomal RNA, 510 nt
Filed under: uncultured Flavobacteriaceae bacterium
Lineage: Bacteria; Pseudomonadati; Bacteroidota; Flavobacteriia; Flavobacteriales; Flavobacteriaceae
Description: bacterial SSU rRNA
Rfam family: Bacterial small subunit ribosomal RNA
Source: RNAcentral